GAUGAACGCUGGCGGCGUGCCUAAUACAUGCAGGUCGAGCGAACGGACGAGAAGCUUGCUUCUCUGAUGUUAGCGGCGGACGGGUGAGUAACACGUGGAUAACCUACCUAUAAGACUGGGAUAACUUCGGGAGACCGGAGCUAAUACCGGAUAAUAUUUUGAACCGCAUGGUUCAAAAGUGAAAGACGGUCUUGCUGUCACUUAUAGAUGGAUCCGCGCUGCAUUAGCUAGUUGGUAAGGUAACGGCUUACCAAGGCAACGAUGCAUAGCCGACCUGAGAGGGUGAUCGGCCACACUGGAACUGAGACACGGUCCAGACUCCUACGGGAGGCAGCAGUAGGGAAUCUUCCGCAAUGGGCGAAAGCCUGACGGAGCAACGCCGCGUGAGUGAUGAAGGUCUUCGGAUCGUAAAACUCUGUUAUUAGGGAAGAACAUAUGUGUAAGUAACUGUGCACAUCUUGACGGUACCUAAUCAGAAAGCCACGGCUAACUACGUG
RNAcentral lists this ribosomal RNA (497 nucleotides) under uncultured bacterium. RNAcentral's name for it is "partial 16S ribosomal RNA". It matches the Rfam family "Bacterial small subunit ribosomal RNA", at positions 28 to 507 of the family's 1533-position model. The record is from RNAcentral.